GCAAGCCCAAGGUCCUGAGUUCAACUCCUGGUACCGGAAAACAAACAAACAAACAAAAAAAAGACACUACUGAGAUGACAGAUACGUUCAUUUGCUUGGUUGUAGUAAUCACCUCAUCGUGUACAUCAAAAUACCAUAUUGUGCACCUUAAAUUUAUACAAGAGAAAAAGCACAAGAAAGGUAAAAGAACGGGAGACCUCUAGCACCGCCCCCCCCGGCCCCGCCCCGCGAGAGCACCCCACCAAAGACUUAGUUAACUGACAUCACAGGGGACUGUGCCAGGCUCAGGGGACCCACGAAUAAGGAGAAGCCAGCCUGUGCCCAGGAGCCGGCUCGCGGUGAGGGGUGGGGGUGGGGGGAUGAAGAUGGGAGGAGUGGGGGGUGGAGGUUGCGGGGAAGGGCUGCAGGCUCUGCCAUCUUCAUCCAGGCCAAAGGUGUAGGAGGCCACGAAUGCAAAGCAGUGAGGACGUAAAGGAGGAGGUGAGCGUCUGCUUGGGCAGCCAGGGAGGGCACACUGCCUGCUGUGACUCCAGGUGUGUGCAGGAGGGAGAGCUUUGCCAGACCCGGAAGAGGACGUACAGACGUACCCUCAAGGUCACCAGCUCCCUCCCCAGCCCUGGAAUCCCCUUUAUGAGCUCAGCCUCCUGCCGCACCUCUGCUGCCCCUGCUCCUACUCAGCCUGCCGGGAGCCUCCAGUGACCUUCAGGCUCUGGCCGCAUUCCAGUGCUCCCCGCCACGCGGCCAUGCGGGGGCCCAGGGACAGCCACGUACCCCCAGGCCUCAGGUUUUCAGUCCCCCUGGAAGUGACUCAGGGCCUCAGGGUUGUGCGUUUGGGGUGAAGGCCAGAUGAGGGGAGAAGCAGAAGAGGUGGAAGAAAGCGCUCCAGUGCCCCUUGCAGCCCCUCCAUGUGACUGCUGCAGAAAGAGCCACUGGAGAUAUCCAAGUCCCCAAGAUGCCCCAGCGGCUCCUCCCAACUCGCAGGCACCCGUGCCGCAGGACCGUGUGCUGAGAAAGGAAUCCAGCAAGAAUCUGGAAACCACAGACAAAGACAAACUGCAGUUUAAGAACCCGUGGCCAAAAGUGCAAAGUCACAAAGCCACAAUAAUGGAUUUGCAGGGCAAAGAGAAGACAGGACUGGGAUUCUGAUGCGAGGCAAGUGGAGAAAUGGGCAGAAAGAGACUCCAUAGAUGCUCCUAAAUCAGCAGCCACAAAGUCAGCCCUCCCGAUUUCAAUAGCAGAUUUUUUUUAAGAAUAAAAUUAAACGAGUG
This 1268-nucleotide long non-coding RNA is filed under the name Chinchilla lanigera (long-tailed chinchilla). Its description in RNAcentral is "lncRNA (ENSCLAG00000028060.1)". Lineage: Eukaryota; Metazoa; Chordata; Mammalia; Rodentia; Chinchillidae. The record is from RNAcentral.